CGAUGAUCUCCAGCUUGCUGGGGGGAUUAGUGGCGAACGGGUGAGUAACACGUGAGUAACCUGCCCUUGACUCUGGGAUAAGCCUGGGAAACUGGGUCUAAUACCGGAUAUGACCAUCUGGCGCAUGUCAUGGUGGUGGAAAGCUUUUGUGGUUUUGGAUGGACUCGCGGCCUAUCAGCUUGUUGGUGGGGUAAUGGCCUACCAAGGCGACGACGGGUAGCCGGCCUGAGAGGGUGACCGGCCACACUGGGACUGAGACACGGCCCAGACUCCUACGGGAGGCAGCAGUGGGGAAUAUUGCACAAUGGGCGCAAGCCUGAUGCAGCGACGCCGCGUGAGGGAUGACGGCCUUCGGGUUGUAAACCUCUUUCAGUAGGGAAGAAGCCUUUCGGGGUGACGGUACUUGCAGAAGAAGCGCCGGCUAACUACGUGCCAGCAGCCGCGGUAAUACGUAGGGCGCAAGCGUUAUCCGGAAUUAUUGGGCGUAAAGAGCUCGUAGGCGGUUUGUCGCGUCUGCUGUGAAAGACCGGGGCUCAACUCCGGUUCUGCAGUGGGUACGGGCAGACUAGAGUGCAGUAGGGGAGACUGGAAUUCCUGGUGUAGCGGUGAAAUGCGCAGAUAUCAGGAGGAACACCGAUGGCGAAGGCAGGUCUCUGGGCUGUAACUGACGCUGAGGAGCGAAAGCAUGGGGAGCGAACAGGAUUAGAUACCCUGGUAGUCCAUGCCGUAAACGUUGGGCACUAGGUGUGGGGGACAUUCCACGUUUUCCGCG
RNAcentral lists this ribosomal RNA (772 nucleotides) under Paenarthrobacter sp. RNAcentral's name for it is "bacterial SSU rRNA". It matches the Rfam family "Bacterial small subunit ribosomal RNA", at positions 67 to 845 of the family's 1533-position model. Lineage: Bacteria; Bacillati; Actinomycetota; Actinomycetes; Micrococcales; Micrococcaceae. The record is from RNAcentral.